UACGAAGGGGGCUAGCGUUGCUCGGAAUCACUGGGCGUAAAGCGCACGUAGGCGGCUUUCUAAGUCGGGGGUGGAAUCCUGGAGCUCAACUCCAGAACUGCCUUCGAUACUGGAAAGCUCGAGUCCGGGAGAGGUGAGUGGAACUGCGAGUGUAGAGGUGAAAUUCGUAGAUAUUCGCAAGAACACCAGUGGCGAAGGCGGCUCACUGGCCCGGUACUGACGCUGAGGUGCGAAAGCGUGGGGAGCAAACAGG
This 253-nucleotide ribosomal RNA is filed under the name uncultured bacterium. Its description in RNAcentral is "partial 16S ribosomal RNA". It matches the Rfam family "Bacterial small subunit ribosomal RNA", at positions 524 to 776 of the family's 1533-position model. The record is from RNAcentral.